UUUGGGAUUGUAAUCUUAUAGAUCCUAACCGACUGUUCCUAGAGCAAGUGGCAAAAGACUUAGUGGUUGGUACUCGAAACCAAAGUUCGAAUCCUAGUUGAUUCACAUUUCUAGUUAAGUUUAUUUCUAAAUAAAAUAAACGAAGUGGGUAGCGUGCUAUCUAUCUCUCAAAAAAAAAAAAAUCUUAUAGAUUCUAAUUCAUUCAAUGUCAUAUUUUUCUCCAUUUAUCUCAUUACUAUUAUUAUUAUUAUUAUUAUU
RNAcentral lists this long non-coding RNA (258 nucleotides) under Ananas comosus (pineapple). Its description in RNAcentral is "long non-coding RNA (ACOM_LNC029608)". The record is from RNAcentral. Lineage: Eukaryota; Viridiplantae; Streptophyta; Magnoliopsida; Poales; Bromeliaceae.